CAGAUUACGCAGCUAAAUUUCAAGUGCUGAAGUUUGUUACGAUUUCUUCAUUUUUUUCGGUUUCUGCAUCAAUGCAUGUAAGUGCUCGCUGUAGCUUCCCCGGAUCGAACAUCACAACCUCAGCCAUAUAUGUGGCAGUCAACAGGAUCCUCAUGCUGCUGAAGAUUUGCCUCAAUACAUUCAUAUCAAUCAAAAUGAUUUUUUUAUGCGAAGAUACUCAAUUGAGAAAAUUCCUUUAUAUGACUCUGCGGAGGAUGAACUCACGUCAAAUGUUGGUGGACAGAGUGAACAAUCCAUGGCUAUUAUACUGAAAGUUGAAGAACCAUCGGAGUCCACUGUUUUAAAUAUUCAACCACUGAAUUCAAUUGGGAUCAAUGGAUUAGGUAUUCAGAAAAUGAAAACUGAAAUAGAAAGCGAGGACAUGAGGUUGUACUCCCAAGAUACCAAACAGGAUCUUCCCCAAAAAAAUGCAAUGAUAUCGCGCAUUCGAAGUAACACUGCAGGAGGAAAGUCCAUCUCUACCAAAAGAUCAAAGGGGGGAAAAGCUUAAAAAUCGCUUACAGAAGAAAAUUGAUGCAAAGUAUGCAGCUGGCCUUUUAGCAUCAAAGGAAGCACAGGAGGAGAUUUUAGAUUAUGAGAAAAGAAAAUAUGACGCUACUGAAGCCCUUGAUUCCUUAUACAAUGAAAUAUGGCCUGCCAUUGAAGAACACGAGAAGGAUACCCAAGACAGUGUAUCUACGACAGUAGUAGCAGAGAAGUGGAUACAGGCUUCCUGCCUAAAACUCAAGGCAGAGUUUGAUCUUUACUCGUCAAUUAUUAAAAAUGUUGCUUGUACUGCUCAAAGGGAACCCGGCCAAGCAAAAGGUACUGAAGUCGAUAACGAAGACAAAAUGAAGCUUUUGAUGUUCUCAACUUCAUCUAAUCCGUAAUUGAUGAUUCACAGAAUACAUGGACAUGUCUGAGAACAUUUUUAUUUUUUCCGAAGUUCAUAACAGAACCUAGGACCUGAUAAACAAAUCCAAAAUCUUUGUCUGUUAUUUUGCCAUGUUAUGCUACCUAGUCCACCAGCACUUGCAGUUUGUCAACUGGAGAAGUUGUCUAA
RNA transcript from Medicago truncatula (barrel medic), 1102 nucleotides. RefSeq lists it as uncharacterized. The record is from RefSeq and is a predicted model, not a curated record. NCBI's taxonomy places the organism in Eukaryota, Viridiplantae, Streptophyta, Magnoliopsida, Fabales, Fabaceae. The transcript has 4 exons.